AACGAACGCUGGCGGCAUGCCUAACACAUGCAAGUCGAACGAGACCUUCGGGUCUAGUGGCGCACGGGUGCGUAACGCGUGGGAACCUGCCUUUAGGUUCGGAAUAACUCAGAGAAAUUUGAGCUAAUACCGGAUAAUGUCUUCGGACCAAAGAUUUAUCGCCUUUAGAUGGGCCCGCGUAAGAUUAGCUAGUUGGUGGGUAAAGGCCUACCAAGGCGACGAUCUUUAGCUGGUCUGAGAGGAUGAUCAGCCACACUGGGACUGAGACACGGCCCAGACUCCUACGGGAGGCAGCAGUGGGGAAUAUUGGACAAUGGGCGAAAGCCUGAUCCAGCAAUGCCGCGUGAGUGAUGAAGGCCUUAGGGUUGUAAAGCUCUUUUACCCGAGAUGAUAAUGACAGUAUCGGGAGAAUAAGCUCCGGCUAACUCCGUGCCAACAGCCGCGGUAAU
This 449-nucleotide ribosomal RNA is filed under the name uncultured bacterium. Its description in RNAcentral is "bacterial SSU rRNA". It matches the Rfam family "Bacterial small subunit ribosomal RNA", at positions 29 to 524 of the family's 1533-position model. The record is from RNAcentral.